This is a long non-coding RNA of Phyllostomus hastatus (greater spear-nosed bat), 886 nucleotides long. RefSeq lists it as uncharacterized. The transcript is spliced from 3 exons. Lineage: Eukaryota; Metazoa; Chordata; Mammalia; Chiroptera; Phyllostomidae. The record is from RefSeq and is a predicted model, not a curated record.
CCGUGGACUCCGCAGUAGCUUCUAGAACCAGUUCCAUCACAGAUGUAAUCAUCCAACACGUCAUUCCCUGGAAUUUGACUGAAAAGUGCUUCCAAUCUAUGAUGGAAAUAUGUGAGCUGUUUUAACGAAGGUGGAGAAUUCCCCCCCUCCACCUCCCUCAGCUGGCUGCUCCGUGGAGAGAAGAGGCCUGCAGUUUGAGGUGGCCGACCAGCUGAAGGGUGUCAUCGUGGACAGAAAGCCGGAGCUGAGUAAACUUGCCCACAGAGACCUUGGUCACUUGCUUAGCUUUUGUUGACGAACUGAGCCAGCUGGACGGAGGGAUAUGUCAGUGCACAAAGAGGCGCAUGAAAGGAAACAGCUGUACCCAUACCAGCAGGAGCUGCUGCAGCUUCAGCUAUGAAGCGUGCACCUGCGUGGAGCUGCUGCAGCUCCAGAUACGAGGUGUGCACCUGCAUGGAGUUGGGUGACUGGAGGUCCGUCAGGGAAGGGACUAUCAUGGAACGUCAGGACUCCAAAGCCAGAGGGAUGGAUGGCUCCGGGGUGGCAAAUUGGAUACCCCACUGCUCACCUGGAGGUCACGGGAUCACACCUGACUUGAAUUAGUCAAAAGGAUUUCAGGAUGAGGAUUUGCUGGUUGUUUAGGAAAGAAAUGAUUAGCUGGCUGUAACAGUGCCUAAUAAACAGAUUGUCCCUGUCAACGAUAUUUAUUCAGUGAGCCACGAACAAGUGGCAUCUCUGCAGCCCUCGUUCAGGAGAGGGCAGGAUUGUCGAAGACUCCUGUUAAGGCUGUGUCCUCAUGUAGCGGUGAAUGAGCAGAGGAGUGACUUGAGCUGACAUAUAUUUCCAUAGACUCACUGUGUCGGCUGCAUUAGGGAUAGACAGCAAG